CGGAGGGUGCAAGCGUUGCUCGGAAUUAUUGGGCGUAAAGGGUAGGUAGGUGGUCUCAUUUGUCUGGGGUGAAAGCCUUGAGCUUAACUCAAGAAGUGCCCCGGAAACGGUGAGACUGGAGUCCUGGAGAGGGUCGUGGAAUUCCCGGUGUAGCGGUGAAAUGCGUAGAGAUCGGGAGGAACACCAGAGGCGAAAGCGGCGACCUGGACAGGUACUGACACUCAACUACGAAAGCGUGGGGAGCAAACAGGAUUAGAUACCCUGGUAGUCCACGCUGUAAACGAUGGGUACUAGGUUUGGUGGGUCUUGACCCCCGCCGAACCGGCGCUAACGCACUAAGUACCCCGCCUGGGAAGUACGGUCGCAAGACUA
RNAcentral lists this ribosomal RNA (372 nucleotides) under uncultured organism. Its description in RNAcentral is "bacterial SSU rRNA". It matches the Rfam family "Bacterial small subunit ribosomal RNA", at positions 526 to 896 of the family's 1533-position model. The record is from RNAcentral.